Molecule: long non-coding RNA, 3404 nt
Organism: Xiphophorus hellerii (green swordtail)
Lineage: Eukaryota; Metazoa; Chordata; Actinopteri; Cyprinodontiformes; Poeciliidae
Exons: 3
Source: RefSeq, a predicted model, not a curated record
CACAAACAGCUGCUGCUGAUUCGCUGACAUGUUGUCUGAUUUAUUCAUAUUUCACUUUAAUGUUUGUGUUCAGUAACAAAGUUUCCUGAAAUACGCAGCUUUUAUUUUGGUAAUGCACUUCUGCUUAUCAGAAAGAAUUUGUAAACUUAAAUAUGUAGCUGGCUAACUAAAUAUUUGGUUUGAAGCUAAAUAAAUAUUUACCUUUGAACUUUGACAUUUAUAAAUGAAUGAAUAAUAACACGGUGAAAAUUAGAAUGAAAAUUAUUGAUCUUUUUUUCUCUCAUUACAGAUUAAAUAGACCAAAUAAUUGCUGGUUGUUUCUGAUUGGAUAACUCUACAGAAAUCUGCCUCUGAUUCAGAACUGAUUCCUUUGGAGCAAUGAAAAAAAUAAUUCUCAUGUUUUCAUAUUUUCAUGUUUCAGGUUCUGCCUUCCCAUCUAAGAGGUGAUAUUAAUCGAAAUAUCUCCCAAAGAUCCUGUUGACUCUCAAACAUUCGUCACAACCAGUAGAUGGCGCUGGAACGCAGGAACUGCAGCUUCUAGGCAGGAUGUGACCAUAUAAGGUUAAACUGGUUGGCAGGCCGAACCAGCUGCAGACUGGCAUUAGAUUUUCUGUUUCCCAUCAGAUCUGGAGAUCUGCUGGAUUCUUACUGUCUGUCUCAGAGAUCCAGCAGAUCUCCAGCCUGGAAGCCAACAAGCUGCUUGGAGGAAACAGAGAGAGUGAGUGAAAGCCAAAGCAGUGAUGGAGAUACUUUUACCCAGAAUGCAUUGUGGCGCCUUGCAGAGGGUCAGAUGUGACAGGAUGGUGGACUGGUAGCACUGGUUUUCCUCCCAGUUGGUGACUGGUUGUGUUCUGGUGAACCAGACUGCAGGAAACUUUCUAGAAGUUUCCUGUUCCUCGUGUGCCAGAAACCAGCAGAGCUCUGAAAUAUGGCAACACUGUUACCUAGCAACAAGAAGGUCGCGGUUCGAAUCCCGGCCCAGCUCUUUCUGUGAUGCUCUCUGGGUACUCCAACUCUUACUGGGUUAACUGGGUUAACUGGUCUCUAUGGGCCUGAGAUUAGUGAACCAGAGACAGCUGGAGAGAGAGACAUUGGCACCCCGUGACCCCGUGACCCUGCAUGGUGCAGACGAUGGCUGGGUGGUUAAAGGAAGUGAGCUUCUGAUUUAAUUUCCCCUUUGGAUCCAUAAAGUAUUUUUAUUAUUUUAUUUCCUGACCUUUGACCCAGUUUCUGUCAGAAGCUGAAAACAUGAAAAGCUUCAGCCGUCCAGCCAACAUCAGCUCCACCUUAAAUAUUUUAAACGAGUCGUUUUUAUUGUCACUUUGGGGAAAAGGUGCAGCAGCCAUUAUGUCCUGUAACACUUGUGGUAAAUUUCAAAUCUUCUUCCUGAAACAAAACAACAGUGACUCAUUUCAAAACAAUAACUGCAUGAAUUGCUUUAUGAUUAAAUGAAGAGCAGAGUUCCUGAAGCUCAGCAGGAAAAAGGUUGAAACAAACAGAGGAGUGAGUCAAACCUGCCCAGGUUUAUUAUUAGCAAACCAUCUUUUCCUUUUGCCUGAAAGGAAAAGCUUUCAGGUGUUUCUCUGAAGGAAGUGGUUCUGUGGCUCAGUGGACCCAACCGGAGCUUAUCAGAGGAUCCUGGACGUCUGCCAGACAAACCGCUGCUUUCCUCUGGGCUCACACACCAAAACAGGGUUAACACACAAAACGGACGUGUUUUAUGAGUUAAUUAUGGAGUAAAGAAGGUCAAUUAUUAUGUGAACGGAGCUUUGCAGGGAAAUUUUCCAGCAACCUGACGGCCGGACACUGAGGAACAAAAACAUCCAUCGCUGAUUCCCAUCAUGACUCACCUCAGGCUUCCUCAUAUUUCUCCAUAAACGCUGUUUGAUGGUAAGUGGCCUAAAGGAAACAAAGCCGUUUUAUGAUUAAUGGUAAACUCGAUAACCUUUGACCUCUCUCCUUCGGUGCAGCCCAGGAACGCUAAAAUAUGUUCCAAGUGGUUUAUUAAAGGAAGUUAAAUAUACUUCACAUCUGAUUUAUUAUGAGGAAUGGAUUAUUAAUGCAUUGAAACUUCAUCUGACCCUGAUCAGAGGCCAGAGGUCGUCUUUAACCCGCAUGCUGACCCUCGAGGAUCGAUGAGGAUCAAUGAGGAUCAAUGAGGAUCGAUGAGGAUCAAUGAGCUCAGCAGCUCAUCUGUCCUCUGCUGACUGAAGACGUUCAGCAGCAGUAACAGAAUGUCUUCAGUCAGAGGCUUCUUAAGUUGUGCUGCAAUACAGACUGCUGCAGGAGAUCUUUCCUGCCAACAGCCGUCAGUGUCUAUAUGUCUUGAAGAAUUUGAAUUAAAAUGAGUUACAACAACACUUAUUUUCCCUUUGGGAUCAAUGAAGUAUUUCUGGAUUUGAACAUCUGCAGCUCGUUUCCUCCAUCAGCUCCACCUGCAGCCGAUCCGACCCGGAUCCUCGGCGCCCUGUGCUCGGCGCCCUGCGCUCUGCGCCCGGUGCCCUGCGCCUGGCACCCUGCGCUCACUGCAGCAGGUCGGCUUCGUUUCCCUGGAACAGCAGACUCCUGUGGGGUCAUGACCUCCUGUGGGGUCAUGACCUCCAACACACUGAAUCUCUCGCUGAUGACCUGGAUGUGGAAACCCAGCAGGAGAACCAAGCGAUGCAGCUUGAAUGUUUCCUGUCCAGGUGAUUUUCUGCAGCUACAAAAUACCAGGAGGAAAAUCACACGUUCAUCAGUCAGAGACGAGCAAACUUCUUCAUGGUGGACUCAACCAGAACAUCUGGGUUUGAAACCGACAACCUGCUGCAGGAGGAGAUCUGAGCAACCGGAGCUGAUCGGUUUCCUGCGUCUUCAGAAGAUCUGGGUUCACCUGCAGCGUUCAGACACCCAGCUGUGAUGAUUAAAGUCUGUUUCUAAAGGUUCACAGAAACCUUCAGUGAAAAUCUCAUUUCUGAUGGGUUGCCAGGUUGAACACAGAGACGCAUUGUUCCAACAUCUGGGGAAGUUUUAUUUGUCUUCAGGAGAAACCAGGCAGAUGCUCAGAAACACCAGGAACUUUCAGAAGCAGAAGCAUAAAUUAGGUUUCCGUUCCCUCGUCUUACUGUAACAGACGUGAUGCAAGAAGCUGCUGCUAAGCUAACGAUCAGGCUUCAGUCUGACUGAACAGGAAACUCACUUUCUGCCUCCCGGCGACAAACGAAGCCGGUUCUGCAGCUCAGGAGAGGCGGACAGAUCAAACAUCCAGGCCCUCAAUGUUUGAACUCUGGCGCUAACAAUUUAGCGCAUUAGCUUUAGCUUCCGGUAAUGUUUUCAUGUGACUAUAUGAUUAUAUGAUUCUUGUUUAGUGAUUUAUUGGUUAUUGAACGUCACUUUUUAGUUAGCGGUGGCUAAUAACUGCUUUA